GAUGAACGCUGGCGGCGUGCCUAAUACAUGCAAGUCGAGCGAACGGACGAGAAGCUUUUUUCUCUGAUGUUAGCGGCGGACGGGUGAGUAACACGUGGAUAACCUACCUAUAAGACUUGGAUAACUUCGGGAAACCGGAGCUAAUACCGGCUAAUAUUUUGUACCGCAUGGUUCAAAAGUUAAAGACGGUUUUGCUGUCUCUUAUAGAUGGAUCCGCGCUGCAUUAGCUAGUUGGUAAGGUAACGGCUUACCAAGGCAACGAUGCAUAGCCGACCUGAGAGGGUGAUCAGCCACACUGGAACUGAGACACGGUCCAGACUCCUACGGGAGGCAGCAGUAGGGAAUCUUCCGCAAUGGGCGAAAGCCUGACGGAGCAACGCCGCGUGAGUGAUGAAGGUCUUCGGAUCGUAAAACUCUGUUAUUAGGGAAGAACAGAUGUGUAAGUAACUGUGCACAUCUUGACGGUACCUAAUCAGAAAGCCACGGCUAGCUACGUG
This 497-nucleotide ribosomal RNA is filed under the name uncultured bacterium. RNAcentral's name for it is "partial 16S ribosomal RNA". It matches the Rfam family "Bacterial small subunit ribosomal RNA", at positions 28 to 507 of the family's 1533-position model. The record is from RNAcentral.